CGGCGUGCCUAAUACAUGCAAGUCGAGCGCGGGAAGCGAGUGGAUCCCUUCGGGGUGAAGCUCGUGGAACGAGCGGCGGACGGGUGAGUAACACGUGGGCAACCUGCCUGUAAGAUCGGAAUAACCCCGGGAAACCGGGGCUAAUGCCGGGUAAUACUUUCUUUCGCAUGAAGGAAAGUUGAAAGAUGGCUUCUUGCUAUCACUUACAGAUGGGCCCGCGGCGCAUUAGCUAGUUGGUGAGGUAACGGCUCACCAAGGCGACGAUGCGUAGCCGACCUGAGAGGGUGAUCGGCCACACUGGGACUGAGACACGGCCCAGACUCCUACGGGAGGCAGCAGUAGGGAAUCUUCCGCAAUGGACGAAAGUCUGACGGAGCAACGCCGCGUGAACGAUGAAGGUCUUCGGAUCGUAAAGUUCUGUUGUUAGGGAAGAACAAGUACCGUGCGAAUAGAGCGGUACCUUGACGGUACCUAACGAGGAAGCCCCGGCUAACUACGUGCCAGCAGCCGCGGUAAUACGUANGGGGCAAGCGUUGUCCGGAAUUAUUGGGCGUAAAGCGCGCGCAGGCGGUUCCUUAAGUCUGAUGUGAAAGCCCACGGCUCAACCGUGGAGGGUCAUUGGAAACUGGGGAACUUGAGGACAGAAGAGGAGAGUGGAAUUCCACGUGUAGCGGUGAAAUGCGUAGAUAUGUGGAGGAACACCAGUGGCGAA
This 712-nucleotide ribosomal RNA is filed under the name Halobacillus sp. SP38. RNAcentral's name for it is "bacterial SSU rRNA". It matches the Rfam family "Bacterial small subunit ribosomal RNA", at positions 40 to 719 of the family's 1533-position model. Lineage: Bacteria; Bacillati; Bacillota; Bacilli; Caryophanales; Bacillaceae. The record is from RNAcentral.